GGCAACGGUGCGCUGCGGCCGGCGCAGAA
Molecule: small RNA, 29 nt
Filed under: Bombyx mori (domestic silkworm)
Lineage: Eukaryota; Metazoa; Arthropoda; Insecta; Lepidoptera; Bombycidae
Description: ovarian small RNA-17361
Source: RNAcentral